GGGGACCUUCGGGCCUCUCGCGUCAGGAUAUGCCUAAGUGGGAUUAGCUAGUUGGUGAGGUAAUGGCUCACCAAGGCGACGAUCCCUAGCUGGUCUGAGAGGAUGAUCAGCCACACUGGAACUGAGACACGGUCCAGACUCCUACGGGAGGCAGCAGUGGGGAAUAUUGCACAAUGGGCGCAAGCCUGAUGCAGCCAUGCCGCGUGUGUGAAGAAGGCCUUCGGGUUGUAAAGCACUUUCAGUCGUGAGGAAGGCGGUAGUGUUAAUAGCACUAUCAUUUGACGUUAGUGACAGAAGAAGCACCGGCUAACUCCGUGCCAGCAGCCGCGGUAAUACGGAGGGUGCGAGCGUUAAUCGGAAUUACUGGGCGUAAAGCGCAUGCAGGUGGUUUGUUAAGUCAGAUGUGAAAGCCCGGGGCUCAACCUCGGAAUAGCAUUUGAAACUGGCAGACUAGAGUACUGUAGAGGGGGGUAGAAUUUCAGGUGUAGCGGUGAAAUGCGUAGAGAUAUGAAGGAACACCGGUGGCGAAGGCGGCCCCCUGGA
Molecule: ribosomal RNA, 543 nt
Filed under: bacterium T465
Lineage: Bacteria
Description: bacterial SSU rRNA
Rfam family: Bacterial small subunit ribosomal RNA
Source: RNAcentral